UGAGGAAUCUUCCGCAAUGGGCGAAAGCCUGACGGAGCGACACCGCGUGAAGGAUGACACCCCUCGGGGCGUAAACUUCUUUUCUGGGUGAUGAAAUUCUGACAUUAGCCCAGGAAUAAGCACCGGCAAACUAUGUGCCAGCAGCCGCGGUAAUACAUAGGGUGCAAGCGUUAUUCGGAAUUACUGGGCGUAAAGCGUUCGUAGCUGGUUUUAUAAGUCUGGUGUUAAAUCUCGGAGCUCAACUCCGAGGUCGUAUCGGAUACUGUAGAACUAGAGUGAUGCAGAGGUACAUGGAAUUUAUGGUGUAGGGGUAAAAUCUGUUGAUACCAUAAGGAACACCAAAAGCGAAGGCAGUGUACUGGGCAUCUACUGACAGUUAGGAACGAAAGCGUGGGGAGCAAAAAGG
RNAcentral lists this ribosomal RNA (406 nucleotides) under uncultured bacterium. RNAcentral describes it as "bacterial SSU rRNA". It matches the Rfam family "Bacterial small subunit ribosomal RNA", at positions 355 to 776 of the family's 1533-position model. The record is from RNAcentral.